AAAUUGAAGAGUUUGAUCAUGGCUCAGAUUGAACGCUGGCGGCAGGCCUAACACAUGCAAGUCGAACGGUAACAGGAAGAAGCUUGCUUCUUUGCUGACGAGUGGCGGACGGGUGAGUAAUGUCUGGGAAACUGCCUGAUGGAGGGGGAUAACUACUGGAAACGGUAGCUAAUACCGCAUAACGUCGCAAGACCAAAGAGGGGGACCUUCGGGCCUCUUGCCAUCGGAUGUGCCCAGAUGGGAUUAGCUAGUAGGUGGGGUAACGGCUCACCUAGGCGACGAUCCCUAGCUGGUCUGAGAGGAUGACCAGCCACACUGGAACUGAGACACGGUCCAGACUCCUACGGGAGGCAGCAGUGGGGAAUAUUGCACAAUGGGCGCAAGCCUGAUGCAGCCAUGCCGCGUGUAUGAAGAAGGCCUUCGGGUUGUAAAGUACUUUCAGCGGGGAGGAAGGGAGUAAAGUUAAUACCUUUGCUCAUUGACGUUACCCGCAGAAGAAGCACCGGCUAACUCCGUGCCAGCAGCCGCGGUAAUACGGAGGGUGCAAGCGUUAAUCGGAA
This 560-nucleotide ribosomal RNA is filed under the name Escherichia coli. RNAcentral's name for it is "bacterial SSU rRNA". It matches the Rfam family "Bacterial small subunit ribosomal RNA", at positions 1 to 550 of the family's 1533-position model. The record is from RNAcentral. Lineage: Bacteria; Pseudomonadati; Pseudomonadota; Gammaproteobacteria; Enterobacterales; Enterobacteriaceae.